CAAGUCGAACGAACUCUGGUAUUGAUUGGUGCUUGCAUCAUGAUUUACAUUUGAGUGAGUGGCGAACUGGUGAGUAACACGUGGGAAACCUGCCCAGAAGCGGGGGAUAACACCUGGAAACAGAUGCUAAUACCGCAUAACAACUUGGACCGCAUGGUCCGAGUUUGAAAGAUGGCUUCGGCUAUCACUUUUGGAUGGUCCCGCGGCGUAUUAGCUAGAUGGUGGGGUAACGGCUCACCAUGGCAAUGAUACGUAGCCGACCUGAGAGGGUAAUCGGCCACAUUGGGACUGAGACACGGCCCAAACUCCUACGGGAGGCAGCAGUAGGGAAUCUUCCACAAUGGACGAAAGUCUGAUGGAGCAACGCCGCGUGAGUGAAGAAGGGUUUCGGCUCGUAAAACUCUGUUGUUAAAGAAGAACAUAUCUGAGAGUAACUGUUCAGGUAUUGACGGUAUUUAACCAGAAAGCCACGGCUAACUACGUGCCAGCAGCCGCGGUAAUACGUAGGUGGCAAGCGUUGUCCGGAUUUAUUGGGCGUAAAGCGAGCGCAGGCGGUUUUUUAAGUCUGAUGUGAAAGCCUUCGGCUCAACCGAAGAAGUGCAUCGGAAACUGGGAAACUUGAGUGCAGAAGAGGACAGUGGAACUCCAUG
Molecule: ribosomal RNA, 650 nt
Filed under: Lactiplantibacillus plantarum
Lineage: Bacteria; Bacillati; Bacillota; Bacilli; Lactobacillales; Lactobacillaceae
Description: bacterial SSU rRNA
Rfam family: Bacterial small subunit ribosomal RNA
Source: RNAcentral